This 466-nucleotide ribosomal RNA is filed under the name uncultured Arcobacter sp. Its description in RNAcentral is "bacterial SSU rRNA". It matches the Rfam family "Bacterial small subunit ribosomal RNA", at positions 29 to 505 of the family's 1533-position model. Lineage: Bacteria; Pseudomonadati; Campylobacterota; Epsilonproteobacteria; Campylobacterales; Arcobacteraceae. The record is from RNAcentral.
AGUGAACGCUGGCGGCGUGCUUAACACAUGCAAGUCGAACGAGAACGGAUUUAAGUUUACUUAAAUUGUCAGCUAAGUGGCGCACGGGUGAGUAAUAUAUAGGUAAUGUGCCCUAGAGAAGAGGAUAACAGUUGGAAACGACUGCUAAGACUCUAUAUGCCUUUAAGACAGAAGUCUGCAAGGGAAAUAUUAAUAGCUCUAGGAUCGGCCUGUACAGUAUCAGUUAGUUGGUGAGGUAAUGGCUCACCAAGACAAUGACGCUUAACUGGUUUGAGAGGAUGAUCAGUCACACUGGAACUGAGACACGGUCCAGACUCCUACGGGAGGCAGCAGUGGGGAAUAUUGCACAAUGGAGGGAACUCUGAUGCAGCAACGCCGCGUGGAGGAUGACACAUUUCGGUGCGUAAACUCCUUUUAUAUAGGAAGAUAAUGACGGUACUAUAUGAAUAAGCGCCGGCUAACUCCG